UACGUAGGUGGCGAGCGUUGUCCGGAUUUAUUGGGCGUAAAGCGCGCGCAGGCGGUCGCGUAAGUCUGCUGUGAAAUCUCCCGGCUUAACCGGGAGGGUGCGGCGGAAACUGGAGUGCUUGAGGGUGGGAGAGGUAAGCGGAAUUCCUGGUGUAGCGGUGAAAUGCGUAGAUAUCAGGAGGAACACCUGUGGUGUAGACAGCUUACUGGACCACUUCUGACGCUGAGACACGAAAGCGUGGGUAGCAAACAGG
Molecule: ribosomal RNA, 253 nt
Filed under: uncultured bacterium
Lineage: Bacteria
Description: partial 16S ribosomal RNA
Rfam family: Bacterial small subunit ribosomal RNA
Source: RNAcentral